AGUGAACGCUGGCGGUAGGCCUAACACAUGCAAGUCGAACGGCAGCACAGUAAGAGCUUGCUCUUACGGGUGGCGAGUGGCGGACGGGUGAGGAAUACAUCGGAAUCUACUUUUUCGUGGGGGAUAACGUAGGGAAACUUACGCUAAUACCGCAUACGACCUACGGGUGAAAGCAGGGGAUCUUCGGACCUUGCGCGAUUGAAUGAGCCGAUGUCGGAUUAGCUAGUUGGCGGGGUAAAGGCCCACCAAGGCGACGAUCCGUAGCUGGUCUGAGAGGAUGAUCAGCAACACUGGAACAGAGACACGGUCCAGACUCAUACGGGAGGCAGCAGUGGGGAAGAUUGGACAAUGGGCGCAAGCCUGAUCCAGCCAUACCGCGUGGGUGAAGAAGGCCUUCGGGUUGUAAAGCCCUUUUGUUGGGAAAGAAAAGAAGCAGGUUAAUACCCCGCUGUUCUGACGGUACCCAAAGAAUAAGCACCGGCUAACUUCG
This 490-nucleotide ribosomal RNA is filed under the name uncultured bacterium. Its description in RNAcentral is "partial 16S ribosomal RNA". It matches the Rfam family "Bacterial small subunit ribosomal RNA", at positions 29 to 505 of the family's 1533-position model. The record is from RNAcentral.